UUGUGUCUUCGAGUCGUUGAUUUCACACUGCCGAGAAAAGCCUCUAGAUAGAAAAUAGGUGCCCGUACCGCAAACCGACACAGGUAGUCAAGAUGAGAAUUCUAAGGUGAGCGAGCGAACUCUCGUUAAGGAACUCGGCAAAAUGACCCCGUAACUUCGGGAGAAGGGGUGCUCUUUAGGGUUAACGCCCAGAAGAGCCGCAGUGAAUAGGCCCAAGCGACUGUUUAUCAAAAACACAGGUCUCUGCUAAACCGUAAGGUGAUGUAUAGGGGCUGACGCCUGCCCGGUGCUGGAAGGUUAAGAGGAGUGGUUAGCUUCUGCGAAGCUACGAAUCGAAGCCCCAGUAAACGGCGGCCGUAACUAUAACGGUCCUAAGGUAGCGAAAUUCCUUGUCGGGUAAGUUCCGACCCGCACGAAAGGCGUAACGAUUUGGGCACUGUCUCAACGAGAGACUCGGUGAAAUCAUAGUACCUGUGAAGAUGCAGGUUACCCGCGACAGGACGGAAAGACCCCGUGGAGCUUUACUGUAGCCUGAUAUUGAAAUUCGGCACAGCUUGUACAGGAUAGGUAGGAGCCUUUGAAACGUGAGCGCUAGCUUACGUGGAGGCGCUGGUGGGAUACUACCCUAGCUGUGUUGGCUUUCUAACCCGCACCACUUAUCGUGGUGGGAGACAGUGUCAGGCGGGCAGUUUGACUGGGGCGGUCGCCUCCUAAAAGGUAACGGAGGCGCUCAAAGGUUCCCUCAGAAUGGUUGGAAAUCAUUCAUAGAGUGUAAAGGCAUAAGGGAGCUUGACUGCGAGACCUACAAGUCGAGCAGGGUCGAAAGACGGACUUAGUGAUCCGGUGGUUCCGCAUGGAAGGGCCAUCGCUCAACGGAUAAAAGCUACCCCGGGGAUAACAGGCUUAUCUCCCCCAAGAGUUCACAUCGACGGGGAGGUUUGGCACCUCGAUGUCGGCUCAUCGCAUCCUGGGGCUGUAGUCGGUCCCAAGGGUUGGGCUGUUCGCCCAUUAAAGCGGUACGCGAGCUGGGUUCAGAACGUCGUGAGACA
Molecule: ribosomal RNA, 1049 nt
Filed under: Staphylococcus aureus
Lineage: Bacteria; Bacillati; Bacillota; Bacilli; Caryophanales; Staphylococcaceae
Description: partial 23S ribosomal RNA
Rfam family: Bacterial large subunit ribosomal RNA
Source: RNAcentral